This 451-nucleotide ribosomal RNA is filed under the name uncultured bacterium. RNAcentral describes it as "bacterial SSU rRNA". It matches the Rfam family "Bacterial small subunit ribosomal RNA", at positions 354 to 796 of the family's 1533-position model. The record is from RNAcentral.
GUGGGGAAUAUUGCGCAAUGGGGGAAACCCUGACGCAGCGACGCCGCGUGAGCGAAGAAGGCCUUAGGGUUGUAAAGCUCUGUUGUAAGGGAAGAAAGGCAACCGGAGUAACAUGCUGGUUGUAUGACGGUACCUUACGAGGAAGCCCCGGCUAACUACGUGCCAGCAGCCGCGGUAAGACGUAGGGGGCGAGCGUUGUCCGGAAUUACUGGGCGUAAAGAGCACGUAGGCGGAUAUUUAAGUCAGUUGUGAAAGACCGCGGCUCAACCGCGGGGUUGCAAUUGAAACUGGGUAUCUUGAGGGCAGGAGAGGUCAGUGGAAUUCCUGGUGUAGCGGUGAAAUGCGUAGAAAUCAGGAGGAACACCAGUGGCGAAGGCGGCUGACUGGACUGGCCCUGACGCUGAGGUGCGAAAGCGUGGGUAGCAAACAGGAUUAGAAACCCCAGUAGUCC